AUGAACCCAGACCAGAAGAUUCACGUCCAUCGGGAGGAGACUUUCGUGGGAGAGGCGGUUUUGGAGGUGAAAGAGGAUACAGAGGGCGCGGUAACAGAGGGGGUGACCGAGGUGGUGGCUAUGGUGGUAAAAUGGGAGGAAGAAAUGACUUCAGAAAUGACCAGCGCAACAGGCCAUACUAGAGACCCUUGUCAAUGUUCCAUUUCUCUCUUUGACACAGUCAGUAGUGAAAUUGCCGGAGUUUUGCCUGCUGCUUUACCCAUGGCCACUUUUGGAUGGCGAAUACACGAAAUUGGGUUUUUAUUUCGGUGGGAGGGACUGGGGCAGUUUUUUCUUUGUUUCUUCGGGUUUUUUUAGCAAGUCCAUUGAAAUUUCAUCUUUAAUUUCCAACAUUCUUCUGUUUUCACCCCUAAACUCUUCAACCGGCUAUAAGAAGGAACAGAAUGAACUGUAAAAUAUUGCCAAAAUCAAAAGUGUUUUGUAAUACAACAAUAAAAGCUGAUUGUUUUAUUUGUGAAAUCUUACA
RNAcentral lists this long non-coding RNA (526 nucleotides) under Gopherus agassizii (Agassiz's desert tortoise). RNAcentral's name for it is "lncRNA (ENSGAGG00000022067.1)". Lineage: Eukaryota; Metazoa; Chordata; Testudines; Testudinidae. The record is from RNAcentral.